CCUUGUUCUUGGACUUCCUAGCCUUCAGAACUACUGUUUGACCUCUGGUAACUAAAACUGCAGAAGGCAAAACUGGAUAAGGAGACUACUGUAAUGAUUAUGCUAUUACAAGAUGCUCGAUUGCUAACAUCAGACAUUUUUAUAAUAGACACUUUCAUUGUGAGGCUACUGGGUCUGUGAUGCAUUUGAGUAAAAGGAAAGAAAGGAGAUUUGGUGGGUGAAGCACAUCUGUGAUACACACAGCAGAGCGUGCCCCUGCCAAGAGCAUCAAGCAUUGGGUGGAGCCGAGAGCUACGUUCAGACUCAAACCCCGUUGUGAUGAUCACUGCCAGAAUCCUGCUAGGACAUCUCUGCCUGUGGAAGGAGGGCUGGAUGGCAUACUGGGAAUGGCUUUCUAGGAUGACUUCGUGUUGCUACAGACUACACGCAGCAUUUCUGGCCUUGAUGUUGUCUGAAUGAAGAAGGCCUAGGAGUUUCACCAAAGUAUAGAUCCCAGAAACCAGUUUGAUCAUGGCAGAUGAUAGUGGCUACUCUAA
This 536-nucleotide long non-coding RNA is filed under the name Pan troglodytes (chimpanzee). RNAcentral describes it as "long non-coding RNA NONPTRT010919". Lineage: Eukaryota; Metazoa; Chordata; Mammalia; Primates; Hominidae. The record is from RNAcentral.